UGCAUCCUCCUCUUUAGCUGCCU
This 23-nucleotide non-coding RNA is filed under the name Arabidopsis thaliana (thale cress). Lineage: Eukaryota; Viridiplantae; Streptophyta; Magnoliopsida; Brassicales; Brassicaceae. The record is from RNAcentral.